AGCCAACUCUAAGAUGAAUCUUCUCUAAGCUCUCUAGAAGACUACUAGUUUGAUAGGCUGGGUGUGUAAUGGAUGAAAGUCCUUUAGCUGACCAGUACUAAUAGAGCGUUUGGCUUAUCUUUAAUAAAGCAU
RNAcentral lists this ribosomal RNA (132 nucleotides) under Campylobacter jejuni. RNAcentral's name for it is "partial 23S ribosomal RNA". It matches the Rfam family "Bacterial large subunit ribosomal RNA", at positions 2791 to 2925 of the family's 2925-position model. The record is from RNAcentral. Lineage: Bacteria; Pseudomonadati; Campylobacterota; Epsilonproteobacteria; Campylobacterales; Campylobacteraceae.